Molecule: ribosomal RNA, 376 nt
Filed under: uncultured organism
Description: partial 16S ribosomal RNA
Rfam family: Bacterial small subunit ribosomal RNA
Source: RNAcentral
GUAGGUGGCAAGCGUUGUCCGGAAUUAUUGGGCGUAAAGCGCGCGCAGGUGGUUCUUUAAGUCUGAUGUGAAAGCCCCCGGGCUCAACCGGGGAGGGUCAUUGGAAAACUGGGGGAACUUGAGUGCAGGAGAGGAAAGUGGAAUUCCACGUGUAGCGGUGAAAUGCGUAGAUAUGUGGAGGAACACCAGUGGCGAAGGCGACUUUCUGGCCUGUAACUGACACUGAGGCGCGAAAGCGUGGGGAGCAACCAGGAUUAGAUACCCUGGUAGUCCACGCCGUAAACGAUGAGUGCUAAGUGUUGGGGGGGUUUCCGCCCCUCAGUGCUGCAGCUAACGCAUUAAGCACUCCGCCUGGGGAGUACGGUCGCAAAGACUG